RNAcentral lists this ribosomal RNA (56 nucleotides) under Hepatozoon catesbianae. RNAcentral describes it as "large subunit ribosomal RNA". RNAcentral also lists the same sequence under 3 other names. Lineage: Eukaryota; Apicomplexa; Hepatozoidae. The record is from RNAcentral.
CGAUAUUAUUACCGUUCAAGCCGUUAGCAAGCUAUACGAUGGAUUCAGGUAAGUCA